This is a long non-coding RNA of Populus euphratica (Euphrates poplar), 137 nucleotides long. RefSeq lists it as uncharacterized. The transcript has 3 exons. Lineage: Eukaryota; Viridiplantae; Streptophyta; Magnoliopsida; Malpighiales; Salicaceae. The record is from RefSeq and is a predicted model, not a curated record.
CAGAAAAGUAUUUUGUGUUGGGAAUUCCGACCGGUGAUGUUCUGAUACUUGCUCAUAGGAGGGCCAAGCACACUAAGACAUGGUAUUUAACGUGGUUCGGCAAAACCGCCUACAUCCACGGGAAAAGUCAAUAUAUU